CUGCCCUUUGUACACACCGCCCGUCGCUACUACCGAUUGAAUGGCUCAGUGAGGCUUUCGGACUGGCCCGGAAUGGGGGGCGACCCCGUCCUGGGCCGGAAAGUUAUCCGAACUCGGUCAUUUAGAGGAAGUAAAAGUCGUAACAAGGUCUCCGUUGGUGAACCAGCGGAGGGAUCAUUA
Molecule: ribosomal RNA, 180 nt
Filed under: ascomycete sp. VTT D-041032
Lineage: Eukaryota; Fungi; Ascomycota
Description: partial 18S ribosomal RNA
Rfam family: Eukaryotic small subunit ribosomal RNA
Source: RNAcentral